This 1045-nucleotide ribosomal RNA is filed under the name uncultured bacterium. RNAcentral describes it as "bacterial SSU rRNA". It matches the Rfam family "Bacterial small subunit ribosomal RNA", at positions 55 to 1099 of the family's 1533-position model. The record is from RNAcentral.
AUGCAGUCGACGGUAACAGGCCUUCGGGCGCUGACGAGUGGCGGACGGGUGAGUAACGCGUAGGAAUCUGCCUUAUAGUGGGGGACAACGUGGGGAAACCCACGCUAAUACCGCAUACGCCCUACGGGGGAAAGCGGGGGAUCUUCGGACCUCGCGCUAUGAGAUGAGCCUGCGUUAGAUUAGCUAGUUGGUAGGGUAAAGGCCUACCAAGGCCACGAUCUAUAGCUGGUCUGAGAGGACGAUCAGCCACACUGGGACUGAGACACGGCCCAGACUCCUACGGGAGGCAGCAGUGGGGAAUAUUGGACAAUGGGCGCAAGCCUGAUCCAGCAAUACCGCGUGUGUGAAGAAGGCCCUAGGGUUGUAAAGCACUUUCAAUUGGGAGGAAAACCUGCCGGUCAAUACCCGGUAGCUUGACAUUACCUUUAGAAGAAGCACCGGCUAACUCCGUGCCAGCAGCCGCGGUAAUACGGAGGGUGCGAGCGUUAAUCGGAAUUACUGGGCGUAAAGCGUGCGUAGGCGGUUCGUUAAGUCAGAUGUGAAAGCCCCGGGCUCAACCUGGGAACUGCAUUUGAAACUGGCGGACUAGAGUUGAGUAGAGGGGAGUGGAAUUUCAGGUGUAGCGGUGAAAUGCGUAGAUAUCUGAAGGAACACCAGUGGCGAAGGCGACUCCCUGGACUCAAACUGACGCUGAGGUACGAAAGCGUGGGUAGCAAACAGGAUUAGAUACCCUGGUAGUCCACGCCGUAAACGAUGUCAACUAGCCGUUGGUCCUAUUUACAGGAUUAGUGGCGCAGCUAACGCAUUAAGUUGACCGCCUGGGGAGUACGGCCGCAAGGUUAAAACUCAAAUGAAUUGACGGGGGCCCGCACAAGCGGUGGAGCAUGUGGGUUUAUUCGAUGCAACGCGAAGAACCUUACCUACCCUUGACAUCCAGAGAAUCUGUAGAGAUAGUUAAAUGCCUUCGGGAGCUCUGAGACAGGUGCUGCAUGGCUGUCGUCAGCUUCGUGUCGUGAAAUGUUGGGUUUAAGUCCGUAACGAGCGC